This 335-nucleotide long non-coding RNA is filed under the name Salvia miltiorrhiza (redroot sage). RNAcentral's name for it is "long non-coding RNA (SMIL_LNC011615)". Lineage: Eukaryota; Viridiplantae; Streptophyta; Magnoliopsida; Lamiales; Lamiaceae. The record is from RNAcentral.
UUAAACUUAAUAGCACAAUCCCCAAUACAGUCAUUAAAGUUCAGAACCCGUUUUAUUCAAUCCCCCAUUGUGGUUGCACAUGCAAAAGAUGAUAUUCCCAAUAAAAGUAAAAACAACUCAGGAAGUUAAAGAGUGAUACAACAGUACCCGAAUCAUGAAUUGAGUUCAAUGUACAUGAUCAGCGCAACCUGUAGGUCUUCCAAUCAUAUCGGAUAUUCAAAGGAAUUAAUGGUGUUUCUUUCUCUCGUCACUCCCCAAUGCCUUCAUGUUCCAUGCAGAAGUAUAUCUCGCAACUGCGCUGCAGUCAGCUUCCAUGUCGACCCUGAAGACGAGAA